AUGACUAGGGAUAACCUUAGGAAGAGAUACAUCAUCAAACCCCUUGAUUGUGUUUACUGCUUGGAACAAGAGUCUUGUUCUCACCUAUUUUUUGAAUGUAUAGUUGCUAAACAUCUCUGGUCCCACAUUGAGGAAUAUUUCUCUAGUCAGAUUGUCUCAUCCUUCGAAUCUGUCGCUAGAUUCUGGAUUGCUACCAAAAAGUGCUCAGUUUUAAACACCGUUAGCUCAGCUGUCCUUUGGUGCCUCUGGAAAUAUAGAAAUGCUAUGAUUUUCAGUAACACCUCCUGGAUUUCCAUUCCGCAGGUCUUGAGGUUGAUGAGGAACAUGGUGAGGAACUGGGCGAUUCUCUCCUCCGGAUCGGACAAGGACAAGUUGAUGAGCUUCGUGGAAACCCUAACAAGAUCCCUCCAGAAACCGUUGGCAAUCACUUGUGGCUGA
RNAcentral lists this ribosomal RNA (438 nucleotides) under Triticum aestivum (bread wheat). Its description in RNAcentral is "partial small subunit ribosomal RNA". Lineage: Eukaryota; Viridiplantae; Streptophyta; Magnoliopsida; Poales; Poaceae. The record is from RNAcentral.